Anguilla rostrata (American eel) is the source of this 1694-nucleotide long non-coding RNA. RefSeq lists it as uncharacterized. Lineage: Eukaryota; Metazoa; Chordata; Actinopteri; Anguilliformes; Anguillidae. The transcript has 2 exons. The record is from RefSeq and is a predicted model, not a curated record.
GGCCUUGUCUUUGGGGAUGGCAGCCAGGUCCUUGUAUCCAAUCACCUUCUUGUCCAAUUUUGUCUGGGAAAGGGGGAAAAGUGAGAGUUCGAGAGACAGGGAAGAGGAAAGGUGCAUUUAAUGCGACGCACCGCUAUCACAUUAGAUACGGUGCAGUGGGCAAUGCUCACUGAAAAUGACAGACCUGUCAAUCAUCAAAAAGAAAGAGUCGAAAAUAGUUUAACCCUCGUGCUAUGUUGCGGGUCAAAUUGACCCUUUUUAAAGUUUGAAAAUCUAGGAAAAAUACUUAAAAGUAUUUUUUCAGUAUGAAACUUCUUCUACUGGCCUUAAUUAGUGUAAUCAACAUUUGAAAUGAAAAUGGUUCAUUUCAUGUAUUUGCAAACCCCCCCUGCAUGUUUAUAUCACAGAGAUACUGUUCGGGUCCAUUUGACCCGACAGUGAAAGUGGAGGCUAAAGGGGGUUAGAAGUGUCAAAUUUAGACCAUUUCUUUCUUUGCAGAUGUGAGACAUAAGGUAUUUCCUACUCCCUCCCACCAUAUUUCACCCCAAUCACACACACACACACACACCCGCAUGCACACACGCACACACAGACACACACAUACAUGUUUGUAUUGCUAUACUUGUGAGGACUUCCCAUUGACUUACAUUCAUUCCGUAACCUCUAACCCUAACCCUAACCCCAACCAAUACAUGCCUAACCCUAAGUCCUAACCCUAAAACAGCUUCUUGAACUUGUGGGGACCAGCAAAAGGUCCCCACCUUGCGUAAUUUUCCUCAUCCUUCUAUCCUUGUGGGGACAUUUGGUUCUCACAAAGAUAGUAAUACAUGCCAAUACACACACACACACACACACACACACACAUUUCACCCCAAUCUAACACACACAAAUACACACAUACAUACAAACACUCUUUCUCCUUAUUAUCCAUUAUCCCUACCUCACCUGUAAAGUGCGAAAAAGUGCAGAUAUGCCGAACUGUUGGUGAUCAAGUAUAGGGCCCCUCAAUUGUCUAGGUUCGUCUUCACAGACACCACAGCCCUAGUGUCUCAUGAGCACUCUCCAUAAAAAUUCUGAAAUCAGCACCAGAGAGGACCAGAAACCAAGCAUGAUCCUAGAUUACAAUGCCACCGAAGGGGGGGUGGAACAACUUGGACAAAGUAACGGGGUCCUACAGCAUCAAGCAAAUGACUGUGCGCUGGCCUUUAGGCAUUUUUUAUAACAUAAUUGAUGUAUCGGCCUACAAUGCGUUCAUCAUCUGGACGGAGAUUUUUCCUGAGUGGAAUGUGUCAAAGCUGUACAAGAGGCGCAUCUUCCACGAGAAGCUGGGGAAGGCACUUGUGGUACCGCAUAUACAACGGAGGCAGCACAAGGACCCCAGCCACUGCAGCCACAGUGAGGGAGAUCCAGGAGAGGGCUGCACCUAGUACACCAGUGCCUGAGGUUGCUGCUGGGGGAAGAAGGAAGUGGAAAAGGUGCCAGGUCUGCAUGACGUCAAGAUGAGCAAAAUUCAUUUGCACAAAGCAUACCGUGACGACUUGUCCCUCAUGUGCUGUGUAGAUACACAGAUACACACGCACACACACACACACACACGCCUCGUUCAUAUUGCUCAUCUCUUGUUCAUUUUUGUUCAUUUCUGGUUCUAAACAUUCUAAACAUUGCAUAAAUAAAGAUUACUUUCAAUAAAAAUC